CACACACAGGACACACAGGUGGGACUCGAACCCCCAACCCUGGAGGUGUGAGACGAACGUGCUAAUAACAUGAAAUAAGUUAAUUCCUGUUCUCACUUACAUUAUAGCAGCUACAAUCUCUCAUUCCCUCACCAGCCCUCUCUUUUCUCUCUCCGUAAUAAGAUCAGAGAUCAGCUGAGUAAAAUUCAGCUUCUCAUGUUACCAAGAAACCGUAAAGCGUAAUCUCCUCUGUCCUGAAGACGUCGAAGGUUUCAGCUUUAUCUCUGAUUGUUACGAAACACUGACACUGUAGACUUAAAUGUUACCUGAAUGUCUCCUUACAUCUCCUAACUUCACCAUGCUCCACAUUACACACAUUUCAAUCUGUUUAUGUAGAGCGUACACCGUACAAGUCCUGGUGAGUGAGCUGUUACUAUAAAAAUGAUAGCUCACAGUACUAGACUGAGAAUUAUUCCGGAGCCUCUGCCGUUCUGUAAUCUGGGAACCUGUGCUAACAUUAAAGGUCUGAGUUGGUAACGUUAACCACCUUCCUCAACUGACUUGGGGUAAAAAUGAUUUAUCCCUGAAAGAAAAAAGUCUCUAAGUUCUUAUAAAGGAGCCGCUGUAUCCGAGAGACACUUUUAGGCAAACACCAGAGACGGAGAACAGCUUUGAGAAGUGCUGAUGGUUUAUUUGUUAAGCAACCUGUCACAUCCAGAGCCUCAUGAAAUUCCUUGUGGAGCACAGACUUCCGCUCCAAGCCCUUCUGCUCACUAUCACCGUCCUACUAUCCAGCUGUAGCAUACUAAAGAGUCUCAUUUGAGCACUAUAUAGACAAGCCACAAACACUCACAUUGCGAAGUCUUGCCGUUCAUUGUCCUUGUUCAUUACUGAGCCAUGUACUCUAUCUGCUUCCUAUUUUGAUAUCUGCUUUGUAUUGUUUAUGUCUGGCUUUUCGUCUGCUACACAUAUACCUGUCUGACCUGUGUCUGUUGACUAUAAUUCUGCCAGAUGAUCUGGAUUUGUUUAAAUAAAGCUCGUAUCAGCUUUCCGAGUUACACGAUCUGGCCUUCCAGUUUAAGAGGUCUCUGACUGUGCCAGAGCCAUGAAAUAUCCAAUCUAGCGUGUUGUUUAGGAAUUAUUAUUUAGUAAGAAAUACUGCAUUGACCAGCUACAUUUUUGCUGCUAACAUUGUACUUAUAAAAAUAUUGUACUGCUGUACUUUCUACCUGUCUGCUACCUCCAUAAGUGCUAUGUCCAUCUAUGUUAAACAGACAGAUAUAUGGUGUAUAUAAAACACGUGUCUGUUUGAUAUAGGUGCGUGUAUACUGACUCCUCAAUGCAGCAAAAUAUGGACAAAAUACUUUUUUCUCUCUGAGUCUUAAUGGGUGUACUCUUUGGAAAUGUCAAAUAUAGAAAUCAAUUACAAUGUUUAUUUUUUUCUUGGAAUAAAGACUGGGGUUUUACAUUAAAUUAAUCUAGACUAAGCUAACACUGAGCAGAUUGGUCAAAUAUAAGACCUACUAAUUAACAGAAAAUAAAUGCUGUCAAUGCAGUAGAACUGAGAAGAAAAGAAAGGUCAAAUAUAAUUAUUCUUUUCGGAUGAGAAUAAUACAUCAAGCCAGCACUCCUGCGUAGCAUUAAAUAAACCAACAUGUCUGUCUGUAAUAGCAGGAUGGCACUUUUUUUUCCUGCCCUUGCUUUGCUCAUUUGAAACAGGAAGUCGUGACUGGACUCUGACAUGUAGCAGAUGGCAGCUGAAGAUUUCAUGGGUCGAGAGAAAUAAAUGUAGCGUCUCCGCUGGUUUAGGAUAAACAGCUCAGUCUCUACUGGUGCUCUGCUCACUGUCAGCUGGAGUGUGUGUUCAGGGGUCACUCCGAGGCCGAGUGUGUAUUCGAGGGUCGCUCCGAGGCGGAGUGUGUGUUCGAGGGUCAUUCCAAGGCCGAGUGUGUGUUCUGUGGUCGCUCUGAGGCCGAGUGUGUGUUCAGGGGUCACUCCGAAACUGAGUGUGUGUUCAGGGGUCGCUCCAAGGUGGAGUGUGUGUCCAGGGGUCGCUCCGAGGCCGAGUGUGUGUUCAGGGGUCGCUCCGAGGCCGAGUGUGUGUUCAGGGGUCGCUCCAAUGCGGAGUGUGUGUCCAGGGGUCGCUCCGAGGCCGAGUGUGUGUUCAAAGUUUACUGCCAGCAAAAUUGCGGGUCCAUAGAGCAGUAAAGUCUUAAGAAAUUGUUUGAAAGCCUGGAUUUUGCUGAAAACUCUAUACCAGUUAUACCCUGUGUGAUUUCAGUCAUAUUUGAAGAUUAUUUAUUGUCACACUGUAUAAGUAACACACACACUCUGCACAGUCAGUGUGAGGUCAUCAGGAGCAGCAAGUUUCAUUUUCUUUUUUGUCAUUGGAAGUGGAUUUUAUUUAUGUGGUGAACACAGACAAGCAGAGUGAUACACACAGUCAAACACAUCCCGGUGGGACUUUAGACCAUAUACGCACUCUUAUAAACGCUGCUCAACCAAUCAAAUUAGAGGACCAGAACUAACCGUGGUUAUACAGUGGAUGGUGAGUGUGUCACAUUAUUUAAUCUGAGACC
Molecule: long non-coding RNA, 2558 nt
Organism: Ictalurus punctatus (channel catfish)
Lineage: Eukaryota; Metazoa; Chordata; Actinopteri; Siluriformes; Ictaluridae
Source: Ensembl